GAUGAAUGCUGGCGGCGUGCCUAACACAUGCAAGUCGAGCGAUUCUCUUCGGAGAAGAGCGGCGGACGGGUGAGUAACGCGUGGGUAACCUGCCUUGUACACACGGAUAACAUACCGAAAGGUAUGCUAAUACGAGAUAAUAUGCUUUUAUCGCAUGGUAGAAGUAUCAAAGCUUUUGCGGUACAGGAUGGACCCGCGUCUGAUUAGCUAGUUGGUAAGGUAACGGCUUACCAAGGCGACGAUCAGUAGCCGACCUGAGAGGGUGAUCGGCCACAUUGGAACUGAGACACGGUCCAAACUCCUACGGGAGGCAGCAGUGGGGAAUAUUGCACAAUGGGCGAAAGCCUGAUGCAGCAACGCCGCGUGAGCGAUGAAGGCCUUCGGGUCGUAAAGCUCUGUCCUCAAGGAAGAUAAUGACGGUACUUGAGGAGGAAGCCCCGGCUAACUACGUGCCAGCAGCCGCAGUAA
Molecule: ribosomal RNA, 468 nt
Filed under: uncultured bacterium
Lineage: Bacteria
Description: partial 16S ribosomal RNA
Rfam family: Bacterial small subunit ribosomal RNA
Source: RNAcentral